RNAcentral lists this ribosomal RNA (1077 nucleotides) under Triticum aestivum (bread wheat). Its description in RNAcentral is "partial small subunit ribosomal RNA". The record is from RNAcentral. Lineage: Eukaryota; Viridiplantae; Streptophyta; Magnoliopsida; Poales; Poaceae.
AUGAGAAGGCGAGGGAGGACAAGGAACAGUAUCAAGCGGCAGAAUGAGGCGAGUAUUACAACAUCUCACUCUCAUAACAACAAUGGGCAUAGAUCAUUGCGAGUCGAUAAUCGUCAAUUGACGUAUAGUGAAUUAGAAGCCAUCACAAAUGGCUUCCAACGAGUAAUUGGCCAAGGAGGGUUUGGGAAAGUCUAUCAUGGUUUGUUGGAGGAUGGCACACAAGUGGCUGUGAAACUGCGUUCUAAUUCGUCAGAUCAAGGUGAACAAGAAUUCUUGGCAGAGGCUCAAACCUUGGCUAAAAUUCAUCACAAGAAUCUUGUAUCUUUAAUUGGCUACUGCAAAAAUAGGGAAUACAUGGCUCUUGUCUACGAGUACAUGUCUCAAGGAGCUCUAGACGAACAUCUUAAAGGGAAAGAUAACAACCCAAGAACUUUGACAUGGAGAGAGAGACUCUGUAUAGCUCUAGAAUCCGCAAAAGGGCUUGAGUAUCUACACAAGGGGUGCAACCCACCCCUCAUUCACAGGGAUGUGAAGACGUCCAAUAUCCUGCUAAAUGCACAGCUAGAGGCUAAGAUUGCAGAUUUUGGCUUGCUCAAGGCUUUCCAUAGCAAAGGUGAUACACAUGUUUCCACUGCAAGGGUGGUUGGCACACUAGGUUACCUUGACCCUGAGUACCAUGCUACAUACCAGUUGACCAACAAGAGUGAUGUCUUUAGCUUUGGCGUAGUGCUACUAGAGAUAGUCACAGGGCAACGACACAUCCUGAAGGACCCUGAGCCAAUAAGCAUUGUUCAGUCGGUGAGGCAACGCUUCGGAUGUGGCAACAUCGAGGGCAUAGUGGAUUCACGCAUGUGUGGCGACCACGAUGUCAAUGGCGUGUGGAAAAUUGCGGACACUGCACUCAAAUGCACUGCCCGGAACCCUUUACAGCGGCCAACUAUGACUGACGUGGUAGCGGUGCUACAAGAGUGCCUUGAACUUGAGGUUGCACAUGACGAUGUUAAUGGAGGGUUUUACUCAGUCAGGAGCGGUGGCAACAUGUUGCUAUGGUCAGUACGACACUGGCUCAUCUACUAA